GAGAUGCACAUGGACCUGGUCAUCCACUUGAUGUUUCCCAGUGCUCUGUGGUCCAGUUUUGAUGCUCACUGUCAUGGUCCGGUUCCUGGACUCACUUUGACUUAAGCUUGAAGCUUAAGCUUCUCUCUUGGACUCAGGAUACCUUACCCCCAUCUUGGAUAUCACUCUGUGCCCUCCUCCCACCUCACACCAUCAGGAACCUCCAAAUGUCAGUGACUUUGAGCACCACCCGAACCACAACCUGCACCCCAGAUUCCCCUUUAGCUCCCGGUUCAUGUCCACCACUCCUAGAGUCUGAUAUCCACCCAAGCUC
Molecule: long non-coding RNA, 313 nt
Organism: Oreochromis niloticus (Nile tilapia)
Lineage: Eukaryota; Metazoa; Chordata; Actinopteri; Cichliformes; Cichlidae
Exons: 3
Source: RefSeq, a predicted model, not a curated record